AGUCACUCCCUGGAGCUUGAGAAAGACUGGCUGCCUUGCAAGCAGAGAGCAGUUAGCACCUUGAACAGAACAUUGCUGGGCAGGAUCAGGGGAGCGAGAGUGAGCUCCCAGCAGACUCCCUAAGACAAGGGUGAAGGUGAUGCUGAGCUGUGGGGAAGUGGCCCAGGGAAGUAGACUGCUGGGUUGGAGGGGAUACAGCACGUGGCUGCCAUCUACAGGGUCCCUGGGCCGGGACCUGGAGUAGUGGGUGGGCCCAGGUUCCCCACCACCACUCUACCCCUCGCCAUAGAGGAAGUGUCUGAACAGUGGACUGCCGUUCACCCAGAAGGAGGGAGGGGAGGGGAGGGGAGAACAGGGUGUGACACAGCCAGAGGGCUGUGUCCUGAAGAGGACGCUGUAUCUUUUGGGACGACACGCAUCUUGGAGCAUAAGUGACGGCAGCGAGACAUCACCAGACAAGGGUGCAGGGAUGGACUAACCUAAUUCCCAGUACAGCCAGCAGGAGGUGCUGCAAUGAAGACAUCAGUGGCUGGGACAUGUGCUGAGAAUGGAAAAAGAACACUUACCAAAUACUGCCCUUGAAUGGAAGCCAGAAAACGCAAGAGAGGAAGACCAUGAAUAACAUGGAAAUGAACAGUUCUGAACAACAUCAAGCACUUCAACAUGAAAUGGGAAGAUUUGGAGAGAAGGGCAGUUGACAGGCAAGGAUGGCAAAUCUGCAUCUACCAUGGGAGAAAGGAAAGAAGAGUGCUGGGCUUUUUAGUCUCUAAGGUGGUUUGAGCAAAUAAGACACUCAGCAGGCAAGUUUCAAAAUUCUGCUCUAACAUAUGCCUCUCCAUAAUCACCAGGUUUUCUGUUUAUAAAAUGUUCUAUACUUUACUAAACCAGAUUAAUAGCAUGGGGGAAGGAAGGGGAAUAGCAUCAGCACCUGAUGUGAUCAACUGUUAAGAUGACAAUAUAAGGUGUUGAUUCCAUUUUAAAAGAUAAUCCAUAGCAAAUUCUGCUCGGUUACACUCAGGCAGCCCUAUAGACUUCAGUGUGUCUCAGAAUUAAGUCCCCCUUGCUCAGAGUAGUCAGUGCAGCAUACACACCAAUUCACCCUUUUUAAGUAUCUUAGUAUAUUCUCCAGAAAGCUAGUACUAUCCACUUGAUUGCUGCUGAGUGUUCCAUGAUCAUUUUACUGAAACCAAUGGCAUAUUAAUGGGUAACAGCAGCCCAGCAGAUGUGACAGGGGAGCAGCAAUGAAAGGGUUAUCAUGCAUUUCUACAAUAUAUACUCUCCUUUGCUUCUACACAGACACCAGCAUUUAUUGGAGUUGAGUUGUACUAUCAUAAAUAGUCUCAUUAGGGUAUAAUAGGGUAUAAUGAAAUGUUGUUUUGCAUUUCUAAGUAGUCUGAGACUGCAAAAUUUUGGGAGAGCAAAAUAGAGGGUCUCCUCCAAGAUACACAGCAAUUUUUUUGCACUGUGGACCAGCCUCUUAUCAGUGGUGUGCCUCAGUUUCCACACCCUGUAAAAUGAAGACUAAAAGAAAAUGUAUCCACCUUUGGAAAGUGCUUUGUCAUCUUGGGUUUACAUGCUAGGUAUUAUAACAUUGCAAAAGCAGAUGACUAUUAUUGAUCUCCUCCCUGGCAACAAGUACAUCCCUUCCAGUAUGUGCCUAAUCUCCAGCCACCCAAAGAAUUAAGGCCUCUGAAAUGUAAGCCUCCCACACAGUAACAUGCUAUUACCCAGCCUAAAGUGCACAAAUGUAAUAACUGAGAUCUUUAGGUGAAAAAUGAUGCAUUACAGAACAUUCCAAAGAUGGGUACAUAUUGUUACCCCAUUUUACAGAAGAGCACAACAAAAUUAAGGCUCUGUGCACUGUUAAGGGAAUGAAUGAGCUCCAAAGACAGUGGGUCUACUCAUGUGAGUAAGUGCUCAUCAAUGUGAAGAACAAGUCUGCAAACAGGCCUUCUGAAUUCUCCUAGUUUUGCGUCACUUUUUCAUUACUGUCUUUCUCCUAAACAUGUUUUUGUUGUUACAUCAUAUCCAAAUGUUUGAGGAGUAUAUGAACUGGUUACAUUUUGAAUCCAUUCAGCAUUUUUCUUUCUGGGAAAUUAAAUUAAAUGAGCCAGUU
Dermochelys coriacea (leatherback sea turtle) is the source of this 2116-nucleotide long non-coding RNA. RefSeq lists it as uncharacterized. NCBI's taxonomy places the organism in Eukaryota, Metazoa, Chordata, Testudines, Dermochelyidae. The transcript is spliced from 3 exons. The record is from RefSeq and is a predicted model, not a curated record.